Molecule: ribosomal RNA, 258 nt
Filed under: uncultured bacterium
Lineage: Bacteria
Description: partial 16S ribosomal RNA
Rfam family: Bacterial small subunit ribosomal RNA
Source: RNAcentral
UACGGAGGGUGCAAGCGUUAUCCGGAUUCACUGGGUUUAAAGGGUGCGUAGGCGGGUAAGUAAGUCCGUGGUGAAAUCUCUGAGCUUAACUCAGAAACUGCCGUGGAUACUAUUUGCCUUGAAUAUUGUGGAGGUGAGCGGAAUAUGUCAUGUAGCGGUGAAAAUGCUUAGAUAUGACAUAGAACACCAAAUUGCGAAGGCAGCUCACUACACAAUCAUUGACGCUGAGGCACGAAAAGCGUGGGGAGUCAAACAGGA